This 156-nucleotide ribosomal RNA is filed under the name fungal endophyte sp. AP675. Its description in RNAcentral is "5.8S ribosomal RNA". It matches the Rfam family "5.8S ribosomal RNA". Rfam says of the family: 5.8S ribosomal RNA (5.8S rRNA) is a component of the large subunit of the eukaryotic ribosome. The record is from RNAcentral. Lineage: Eukaryota; Fungi.
AUACUUUCAACAACGGAUCUCUUGGUUCUGGCAUCGCUGAAGAACGCAGCGAAAUGCGAUAAGUAAUGCGAAUUGCAGAAUUUCCGUGAGUCAUCGAAUCUUUGACGCACAUUGCGCCACUGGUAUUCCGGUGGGCAUGCCUGUUCGAGCGUCAUU